Non-coding RNA from Hydractinia symbiolongicarpus, 73 nucleotides. The record is from the annotation of a RefSeq genome assembly. NCBI's taxonomy places the organism in Eukaryota, Metazoa, Cnidaria, Hydrozoa, Anthoathecata, Hydractiniidae.
GGCCGCGUGGCCCAAUGGAUAAGGCACCUGGUUUCUACCUAGGCGAUUGUGGGUUCGAGUCCCAUCGCGGCCU